This 2514-nucleotide long non-coding RNA is filed under the name Homo sapiens (human). Its description in RNAcentral is "HSALNT0403962". The record is from RNAcentral. Lineage: Eukaryota; Metazoa; Chordata; Mammalia; Primates; Hominidae.
ACCAGUCAAAGGACAAAUGCAGACAUCAGGGAUGUUAUACAUACACUUUUAGGGCAUUUGUGUAGUGAUUAUUCUAAAAUUAAAUGUAUAUUCAAUGAUUUCUUUUUAGGUUGCAGAGGAAUAGCAAUGAUAACUUAAGCAAAACAACAGAAAAGUUAUAAAGAGAAGACACUUUUUUAUUAUAUUUUAGGUUGGUGCAAAAGUAAUUGCAGUGUUUGCAAUUUUUAACUCCAAAAACUGCAGUUACAUUUGCACCAACCUAAUACAUUAUGUAUAACUAUAUGUAAAUUUUCAAAUAGUGACACAUAUACUAAAUUUACCUCAUAAAGCCAUAGUAGGUCACAUAGCACAGUUGGAACAAGACUAACCAUAGCAAGAUAUCAAGGAUUUUGAGUAGCUAUGCCGUCUCCUGAAUACAAGCAUCUCUUCUUAAUUUCUCCCGUUUGAGAAACAGAACAUCCUGUGUUUGUAAGUUUAUAAUCCAACCCAUCUUUUACUUGCUCAGACCUCCACUAACAGGCUGAACAAGGUGCAGACUUUACUUUUAGAAAAUAAAACAAAACAAAAAAACACAAAAAAACCCAAUUUCUGCUAAAAGUAGAUUUCAUCUUGCUGACGAUUCUUAAGUAACUUAAACUGUCCCUCUACAGUUCAUCUUUGAUACCUCCUACUCAUCGCUAUUAUCUUGAGUUUUACUAGCAAUGAAUUCUAGCACACAAGAAAAAAAAAUCAGAAAUGCACCCUUCGUUUACUAAUUACAAAAUCAACAGACCUCAGAAAGACGGGACAUUCACUUCUAUGCACUCCCCUCAAUUCAGGGGUGGAAUUGGGUUGCAUUUUUGUAUCUGUGAGUCUCAGCGUGUGUAAACUCAUGUCCUCACAGAUGCCUGAGGUUUUCUGCUAGCCCAGCUGAUCUUGACCAGGAAUUUAUUUAAUGUAACUGAGUUUUGUCACUGAUGGGCAAUAUGGAGAGAAUGUAAAAAUAUCUAACUUCAAACAGAAAAAAGAAACAACUGGAAUGAAAAGCUAUAAACAAUAGGUAAGGAAACACAAACAUUUACAUUUUAACACAGACCAAACAGGCAAGAAGGGACUUGCUGGCCAAAGAUAUCUCAUAUUUUGUUUUACUUCUCUGUUUUUAAAGUAUCAGGAAGUUGGGCCAAAUAUCAACUCUCUUCUAUAUUACAUGGACCUCCCAAUACUGUUCUUGGCUAGCCUGUUCACGGUCCAAACUGGCAUUUUAAACCAAUUCUAAUUAGGUUGAAAUUACAGUUACAAUUCAUUUACUUCAAAUCCGUUAACCUUCCAGUGUUGCAAAGAAGGCUGUGGAGUGGAACACAGAAUUCAGCUGAGAUGAUAUUUAAGGCAUAGCUAGGGACUGUGAUCUUGCCGACAAAAAUAUUACUUAUUUCCUUUUUAUGAAAAGAAUAUUACCAUCAGAAUCCAAGACCUCCGAACUUCCCUGCUGAAGGCACGUUUACGUCUUUGGACUCUGGUGUACCAGGGCCUGAACAAGCUAUAACACCAUGGUAUUACCAAAUACAUCCUAAGUCAUCAAAACAGCUUUUUAGGCUAAUUCUGUAAGUACAGCAAAACACACAGCAAACUUAAGGUUUUCUUAGUAGUAAAAAACAUGUAUCUCUCAUACUGUAAAAAAUAAAGGUGUUCCAUGGGAGGGAAGGAGUAGGGGGAGAACAGGUUGGGGCUCAAAAUAAGCAAGUAGGGUUAUUGUAAUCUAUUUUAAAGAAAAUUCAUAAUUUUAAAUCUCUCUUUAGUUCAGAAGAUUGACGUAGAGGAUUUACCUACAGAACUUCAGGAGAUUCCUAAGAAGGCCUUCAGUGAUCUUUUCAUCAAUAUCAUCAGGCCUUAUCAUUGUUUCACAUUUGCUUCUCUUUACCAUAGGGAAUAUAAUAAUUAUUUACUGGUUAACUUCCUAGGGAGAUUGCCUGCGGCUUAUUUAAGAUCCAAAUUUUAAAGUAAUAAUUUCUGUUGAAGCUGCUUGUGAGGUGGUUGGGUGGGCAGAUAGAGUGAAGCCAGGGACACACACUAAAUGAGCCCGGGAUGUAGGCAGGUUUUGAUGUUUUGCUUGCUUUUAUCCCUAACAUUUUAUCCCUUCACGUUUACUGUCUCACUGAACAUUUUGUCUACUCUUCUAGUUAUGCAGUGAGCAGGUCUCCUCCAGGAAGAAGCCUCUUUUUAUGAGGAUUGGGGUGGUGACAGACAAUAAUCAAAUGGUCUGAUUUCUCUGCUAUCCUUUCCUUUCCCCUAAAUGUUCUCAGGGGAUCUGCUUGAACUUUUUUCAAGAGCUCUGUAUUUGGAUUUUUAGUAGCCUAUAGAUUAUCACUCAAUAAAACAAAUUAAUUGUUUUUAAGUGAAUUGCCAAAAGUCAUUUUAAAAAGGAAACUCUAUGGUUAUUAUGGUUUCUGCUAGAAAGAAUUCUGACAGCUCAUAAAAGCAAUAUGUAUAAUUUUUCAUUUUUUAGAAGAAAAUAAAUACUUUCAUGUAAUGGCUUGA